GUGAGGAAUAUUGGACAAUGGGCGCAAGCCUGAUCCAGCCAUGCCGCGUGCAGGAAGACGCAUCUAUGGUGUGUAAACUGCUUUUGUACGGGAAGAAACACUCCCUCGUGAGGGAGCUUGACGGUACCGUAAGAAUAAGGAUCGGCUAACUCCGUGCCAGCAGCCGCGGUAAUACGGAGGAUCCAAGCGUUAUCCGGAAUCAUUGGGUUUAAAGGGUCCGUAGGCGGUUUAAUAAGUCAGUGGUGAAAGCCCAUCGCUCAACGAUGGAACGGCCAUUGAUACUGUUAGACUUGAAUUACAAGGAAGUAACUAGAAUAUGUAGUGUAGCGGUGAAAUGCUUAGAUAUUACAUGGAAUACCAAGUGCGAAGGCAGGUUACUACUUGUGGAUUGACGCUGAUGGACGAAAGCGUGGGGAGCGAACAGGAUUAGAUACCCGGGUAGUCC
RNAcentral lists this ribosomal RNA (445 nucleotides) under uncultured bacterium. RNAcentral's name for it is "partial 16S ribosomal RNA". It matches the Rfam family "Bacterial small subunit ribosomal RNA", at positions 354 to 796 of the family's 1533-position model. The record is from RNAcentral.